RNAcentral lists this ribosomal RNA (511 nucleotides) under Dendropsophus leali A. RNAcentral describes it as "partial 16S ribosomal RNA". It matches the Rfam family "Bacterial large subunit ribosomal RNA", at positions 1911 to 2573 of the family's 2925-position model. Lineage: Eukaryota; Metazoa; Chordata; Amphibia; Anura; Hylidae. The record is from RNAcentral.
CCAGUGACCAAGUUCAACGGCCGCGGUAUCCUAACCGUGCGAAGGUAGCGUAAUCACUUGUUCUUUAAAUGAGGACUAGUAUGAAUGGCACCACGAGGGUUKUACUGUCUCCUUUUUCUAAUCAAUGAAACUGAUCCCCCCGUGAAGAAGCGGGGAUAAACAUAUAAGACGAGAAGACCCUAUGGAGCUUUAAAAAAAAUARCACUGGCCCCCCCCCCUCCUACCUUCCAGAAAMAUAAMACCCAUWUUGGCCAAAAUGAWUAUUAUUUUUAGGUUGGGGUGACCACGGAGCAAAAAUUAWCCUCCACAUUGAACGGAAAUACUCCUGAGCCAAAAGCUACGACUUUAAGCACCAAUAAACUGACAUUAAUUGACCCAAUAUUUUGAUCAACGAACCAAGUUACCCUAGGGAUAACAGCGCAAUCCAUUUCAAGAGCUCCUAUCGACAAAUGGGUUUACGACCUCGAUGUUGGAUCAGGUCACCCCAGUGGUGCAGCCGCUACUAAAGUCG